UUAUGUAUAAAUAGAUGUACAAUGAGGGCUUAGUACAAGCCCGUCUUCUAGGUGGCGCCUUGCCCGUUCUGAAUUUUUGUAUUCCCCUACGAUUUUCUUUGAGGGGAAUCCGUUAAACCCGCCCAUCGUUCAAAAAUGGAAGGGCGCGAGGUCACAUCUAUUGGGCCACUUAUUAGCACGUUUCACCCAUGUUUUACGAAAAUAGCUUUAUCCUUGUUUGUUUCAACUGUGACAAGAAAAAAGGAAAAAAAGUUAUAUUCGCUUCUAAAUUCGGCAGUUUUGUUGAUCUUUCUCGACUUGUAAUUUCGUUUCGUUUAGGUUAUGUCUUAUAAAAAUAAAUAUUUAUAAGCUUUUGAAUUGAAAUAUACCUUAAUGCAUAUCUGAGUAAUUAAAAAAUUCAGUUUUUUCGUCCCUCGCGAAGAAACAUAAACAGUAUUUGUGAAAUUUGGAUUAGAAACUAUUAUUUUAUUAGUUUAUUUUGUUGUGUUUAAGUGUUGUGUAUUUGUACCUACUGGAUAAUAUUUUCCAACAUAUUUAAUUAAGCAAAAAGCAUCUGUUUUACAGGUGUGACUGCUAAGUGGUCGUACUCGCCACUUUAACCAAGCAUUGGUGGGACCUUCAGAGAUCAUAAUGCGAAUUUCUUCAUACCAUGUAAAUCUAUAUACAUGUAUUAAUAAAUGCGUUUGCUUUA
Sitophilus oryzae (rice weevil) is the source of this 691-nucleotide long non-coding RNA. RefSeq lists it as uncharacterized. The record is from RefSeq and is a predicted model, not a curated record. NCBI's taxonomy places the organism in Eukaryota, Metazoa, Arthropoda, Insecta, Coleoptera, Curculionidae. The transcript is spliced from 2 exons.